ACACUCACGAACGAUUCUUCUCCUUCUCUUGACCACCACCUCCACCGAUCCAGUCCACCACCACCAGGCACCAGCCGACGCACCACCGCCACCGGCCACCAGCCCACCACAAUCCUUCUCUGCUCACUACCUUCUCUCUCUCUCUCUCACGAGUCACGACUCUGGUUCUUCCUCACUUCUACUUCUCAACUCUCAAGCACAACACACACCAGUGACACCACGCGGCCACGCCACCAGUCCACCACCACGGCACCACCGGCGGCCGGCGCACGCCACCACCCACUCUCUCUCUCUCUCUGUUGAAGCUUGAAGGUUGGUUGGAAUUGAAAACCCCCAAAUUGAAAAACCCUAAAUUGAAAACCUAAACCCCAAAUUGAAAACCCUAAUUUCUAUUAUUUUGAUUUGCUUUCCCUUUUGCUGAGUUUGAAAGUAGUGUAUGUUGUCAAUUGUUGAAUUUGCUGAAAUCAAUUUGUCAAUUGUUGGCUGGAAUGUUGAAUUUGUCAAAAGGAGCACUACCAGUACCAGGUCCAGGAGCUUUCGGAUGUUGAAUGUUGAAUUGUUGGCUGGGAUAUUGGGAUGAUUGUUGGCUGGAAUGUUGAAUUUGUCAAUUGUUGAAUGUUGAAUUGUUGGCUGGGAUAUUGGGAUGAUUAGAUGAUAUAUUGAUAUUGUAUUUUACAUACACUAGUUUGCUUAAAAUGGGAGUAAUUGGUUUGAGAGUAAUUGGUUUGAUUUACAUGAGAGUAAUUGGUUUGAUUUAAAUGGUUUGAUUUAGUAAUUGAUUUGAGAUUAGAAUUUUGAUGUUUUGUAGAGAAAUGAGUUUACACUUUGCAGAUGUGUUUUUGUGCAAUGUUAGUUUAAAUGGUUUAGAAAUUAGAUUGAUAGAAAUAGAAUUAUAGAAUGAUAGUGUUCAGAUUGAUUGGGAUUUAGAGGCAUAAAAUGAAGUGAGGGAUUUAUAGGCAUAAAUUGAUAGUGGCGAGCAACUUUUGGCAGUUUUGGGUAAGAAAGUGAGGGAGGGCGAGGGGUUCCAGAGAGAUUUCUGGUGUUCGGAUUGAUAUUAUCACGGAGGAAACCAAUGAAAAAUCUGAUCAUGGAACUCCUAGUUGGUAUGGGGCUCAACUUUUGUCUUUGGUAGGCAUUUCGAAACCUUUUACCUUGUUCCUUAUUAAGCUAUCUUCUUGACACUUAUUUUGAUACAUGACUAGCUUAGUUUGAUGUCAUUUAAUACCUGAGAAAUCUUAGUUCAUUUUGAAGUCUCCAAAUUGGUUUAUUUAUUUCAAUAUUGGUUAUUAUCCUUCCAGACAUGGGUCACACUUGGCAGAGCACAGCUGAAUUUUGGUGAGCCGGUUAAUGCAAUUGAAAGCUUUGACAGAGCGUUAGCUCUUAAGGUCAGUCUUCAUGAUGCUUGGUAGUUGAGUUAGAUGUUGCUCAAGUUUUCUAUUCAGCAUUGAGUUUAGUUACUUGGAAUAGUUAGUGAAAUAAUUAGCCAAAGAAAGAGGGAUAACAUGCUAUGAAUAAUGGCAAGAAAUUUGUAGUGAUUGCUUUUGUAGAAAUUGGGAAGGGGAGUCAUGGUCUCUCAAAUACCUGGGUGAGGGACAUGAUUUUCUGUGCUGCUCGUGUUCUUAUCUCUGUUUUAUAUCAGAUUGAUAGUUUGCUUUUUGUAUAGUAUCUAGAUUUUGUAUGAAUUUUCCUCUUGAUUGCCGAAGUGUUUGACCCCUGUUAGCUAAUUGCAUAUGAUGUCAUUUAAUACUUUGUGCAUAAUUGCAUAUGAUGACCCCUGUUAGCUAAAGUUGAUGGUUCGUUAUUGACGAUUAUAACAUUUCUUAACAUUGAGUUCCCCAGUUUUUCAAAUGUUUUUGGGUUAUCGAUGUGCUCAUUUGAAAAAUUUGAACCCCCUGACCCCGGGGUCCUGGAUCCGCCACUGGUCGAUGUGAAAAGUGGUGUUUUCUGUUUUUGUGAAGAGGUUGGUGAGUGCCGACGAAGAUUCAAGCCAUGGGUCUGGUGGUUGGUAUGUGAUGGUGAUGACGGUGAAGAUGAGAACGGAGAAGACGAAGAGUGAGAAGGAGAGGUUGCUGAUGAGUUUGAUGAGGUUCUGAGCAAUGGGUUCGGUUAUGCUACUGGUUCUGGUGUUCGAGUGCUUUAUUUCCGGUUUUGAGAUCCAAUCUGAAUGGAAUGGACAUGGUGAAGAGAAGAGAAGCGUAAUGUGG
Molecule: long non-coding RNA, 2204 nt
Filed under: Lotus japonicus
Lineage: Eukaryota; Viridiplantae; Streptophyta; Magnoliopsida; Fabales; Fabaceae
Description: long non-coding RNA (LJAP_LNC001916)
Source: RNAcentral